CUACAUUAGAUACCCCCGUAGUCCCAGCCGUAAACUAUGCUCGCUAGGUGUCAGGCAUGGCGCGACCGUGUCUGGUGCCGCAGGGAAGCCGUGAAGCGAGCCACCUGGGAAGUACGGCCGCAAGGCUGAGACUUAAAGGAAUUGGCGGGGGAGCACAACAACGGGUGGAGCCUGCGGUUUAAUUGGACUCAACGCCGGACAACUCACCGGGGACGACAGCAAUAUGUAGGCCAGGCUGAAGACCUUGCCUGAAUCGCUG
RNAcentral lists this ribosomal RNA (259 nucleotides) under uncultured archaeon. RNAcentral's name for it is "partial 16S ribosomal RNA". It matches the Rfam family "Archaeal small subunit ribosomal RNA", at positions 720 to 982 of the family's 1478-position model. The record is from RNAcentral.